This 458-nucleotide ribosomal RNA is filed under the name uncultured Enterobacteriaceae bacterium. RNAcentral's name for it is "bacterial SSU rRNA". It matches the Rfam family "Bacterial small subunit ribosomal RNA", at positions 924 to 1382 of the family's 1533-position model. Lineage: Bacteria; Pseudomonadati; Pseudomonadota; Gammaproteobacteria; Enterobacterales; Enterobacteriaceae. The record is from RNAcentral.
CACAAGCGGUGGAGCAUGUGGUUUAAUUCGAUGCAACGCGAAGAACCUUACCUGGUCUUGACAUCCACGGAAGUUUUCAGAGAUGAGAAUGUGCCUUCGGGAACCGUGAGACAGGUGCUGCAUGGCUGUCGUCAGCUCGUGCUGUGAAGUGUUGGGUUAAGUCCCGCAACGAGCGCAACCCUUAUCCUUUGUUGCCAGCGGUCCGGCCGGGAACUCAAAGGAGACUGCCAGUGAUAAACUGGAGGAAGGUGGGGAUGACGUCAAAUCAUCAUGCCCCUUAUGACCUGGGCUACACACGUGCUACAAUGGUUGGUACAACGAGUUGCGAGUCGGUGACGGCGAGCUAAUCUCUUAAAGCCAAUCUCAGUUCGGAUUGUAGGCUGCAACUCGCCUACAUGAAGUCGGAAUCGCUAGUAAUCGCGGAUCAGCACGCCGCGGUGAAUACGUUCCCGGGCCUU